AGCAAGGGUGUGGUGUGAUAACAUGUUUGCAGCCUGGUGACCCCUGACACAUUAGCUGCAAACUCUAAUCUCUUCCAUUUUGGGUCAAUGUCUCCCUGUGCGUGUAUAUGUGCGUGUGUGUAUAUAUAUAUAUAUAUAUAUUUGUUUUAUUUAUUUUUUUGGUUGUCUAACUUCUCCUACAUUUCUAGCUGACGGGAGGAGAAGGAUAUCCAUAAGUACUUGCGUUUUAGAUCUACAGCUGACUUGGAGAGCUUUCACAACCAUGUCCUCAUGUAUGCAAGCAAGCGUUUUGCUUUCACUCCUCCAGUCUAUGAAGCCCGUGUUAUUCUGGCUGCCCUGGACUACAACUUCCAUCUUGGUCGGCCAACAAGACA
Melanotaenia boesemani (Boeseman's rainbowfish) is the source of this 374-nucleotide long non-coding RNA. RefSeq lists it as uncharacterized. NCBI's taxonomy places the organism in Eukaryota, Metazoa, Chordata, Actinopteri, Atheriniformes, Melanotaeniidae. The transcript has 2 exons. The record is from RefSeq and is a predicted model, not a curated record.